RNAcentral lists this ribosomal RNA (253 nucleotides) under uncultured bacterium. RNAcentral describes it as "partial 16S ribosomal RNA". It matches the Rfam family "Bacterial small subunit ribosomal RNA", at positions 524 to 776 of the family's 1533-position model. The record is from RNAcentral.
UACGAAGGGGGCUAGCGUUGUUCGGAUUUACUGGGCGUAAAGCGCACGUAGGCGGAUCGAUCAGUCAGGGGUGAAAUCCCAGAGCUCAACUCUGGAACUGCCUUUGAUACUGUCGAUCUGGAGUAUGGAAGAGGUGAGUGGAAUUCCGAGUGUAGAGGUGAAAUUCGCAGAUAUUCGGAGGAACACCAGUGGCGAAGGCGGCUCACUGGUCCAUUACUGACGCUGAGGUGCGAAAGCGUGGGGAGCAAACAGG